AAUAAAGUGCCUGAAAUAAAGGAUUAUUCUGAUAGGAUAAAAAAUGUAAUUUAAAUUACCUUUAUUA
This 67-nucleotide transfer RNA is filed under the name Mahasena oolona. Its description in RNAcentral is "tRNA-Ile". Lineage: Eukaryota; Metazoa; Arthropoda; Insecta; Lepidoptera; Psychidae. The record is from RNAcentral.